UACAGAGGGUGCGAGCGUUAAUCGGAAUUACUGGGCGUAAAGCGCACGUAGGUGGCGACGUAAGUCGGGUGUGAAAGCCCCGGGCUCAACCUGGGAAUUGCAUUCGAGACUGCAUUGCUGGAGUACGGAAGAGGAGGGCGGAAUUCCCGGUGUAGCGGUGAAAUGCGUAGAUAUCCGGAAGAACACCGGUGGCGAAGGCGGCCUGCUGGGCAGUAGCUGACGCUGAGGCGCGACAGCGUGGGGAGCAAACAGG
This 253-nucleotide ribosomal RNA is filed under the name uncultured bacterium. RNAcentral's name for it is "partial 16S ribosomal RNA". It matches the Rfam family "Bacterial small subunit ribosomal RNA", at positions 524 to 776 of the family's 1533-position model. The record is from RNAcentral.